This 300-nucleotide ribosomal RNA is filed under the name uncultured Bacillus sp. Its description in RNAcentral is "bacterial SSU rRNA". It matches the Rfam family "Bacterial small subunit ribosomal RNA", at positions 496 to 795 of the family's 1533-position model. Lineage: Bacteria; Bacillati; Bacillota; Bacilli; Caryophanales; Bacillaceae. The record is from RNAcentral.
AGUAAUGAGGUGCGAGGCGCGGUGGUAAUACGGGGGGUGGAGGCGUUGGUCUGAAUUGCUGGACGUAAAGCGCGUGCAGGCGGUUCGUGAAGGUGAGGGUGGAAGGUCCCAGCUCAACGGGGAGGUGUCCGUGGAUACUGGCGGACUUGAGGGGGGUAGAGGGGAGUGGAAUUCCCGGUGUAGUGGUGAUAUGUGUAGAUAUCGGGAGGAACACCAGUGGCGAAGGCGGCUCUCUGGGCCCUACCUGACGCUGAGACGCGAAAGCGUGGGGAGCGAACCGGAUUAGAUACCCGUGUAGUC